RNAcentral lists this ribosomal RNA (253 nucleotides) under uncultured bacterium. RNAcentral describes it as "partial 16S ribosomal RNA". It matches the Rfam family "Bacterial small subunit ribosomal RNA", at positions 524 to 776 of the family's 1533-position model. The record is from RNAcentral.
UACAGAGGUCCCAAGCGUUGUUCGGAUUCACUGGACGUAAAGGGUGCGUAGGCGGUCGGGUAAGUCUGAUGUGAAAUCUCACAGCUUAACUGUGAAACUGCAUUGGAUACUAUCCGGCUAGAGGAAUGGAGGGGAGACUGGAAUACUUGGUGUAGCAGUGAAAUGCGUAGAUAUCAAGUGGAACACCAGUGGCGAAGGCGAGUCUCUGGACAUUUCCUGACGCUGAGGCACGAAAGCCAGGGGAGCAAACGGG